RNAcentral lists this transfer RNA (87 nucleotides) under Actinocatenispora rupis. RNAcentral describes it as "tRNA-Leu". It matches the Rfam family "tRNA". Rfam says of the family: Transfer RNA (tRNA) molecules are approximately 80 nucleotides in length. Their secondary structure includes four short double-helical elements and three loops (D, anti-codon, and T loops). Lineage: Bacteria; Bacillati; Actinomycetota; Actinomycetes; Micromonosporales; Micromonosporaceae. The record is from RNAcentral. RNAcentral also lists the same sequence under 2 other names.
GCCGAGAUGGUGGAAUAGGCAGACACGAAAGCCUCAAAAGCUUUUGUCCGAAAGGGCGUGCGGGUUCGAGUCCCGCUCUCGGCACCA